CUCAUGAUUGUUAGGGAAGAAGACCUACCCUUAUUGAUUAUUUCACAGGCCGCCAUAAAUGAUCCCAGACUUUUGCAGCUUCCACAAAAGGGUACAUUUCGAAAAGUGCAGAGGUUCUAUUGAAAGAUCGCAAAGUUAAUGUCUCUAUCGACCAUAUGUCUCUGAACCACCUGUCUCAGAAUUUGGCUGCAAAUCCUGAGUGGGCUGCAGCAUCUGUUCAUAACACAGCGGAGUUUUCUAAUAAGGGCAGGAUUAACAUAUUUUUCCUGUUCCAGUCUGACAAGAAUUGACGCCACAUGGUCAAAUCUGCCCAAGCCUGUAAGUCCAGUGUAACUGUGCGGUCGUCGUUUGGUAAAUUUGGU
Molecule: non-coding RNA, 362 nt
Organism: Pelobates cultripes (western spadefoot toad)
Lineage: Eukaryota; Metazoa; Chordata; Amphibia; Anura; Pelobatidae
Source: the annotation of a GenBank genome assembly